This 497-nucleotide ribosomal RNA is filed under the name uncultured bacterium. RNAcentral's name for it is "partial 16S ribosomal RNA". It matches the Rfam family "Bacterial small subunit ribosomal RNA", at positions 28 to 507 of the family's 1533-position model. The record is from RNAcentral.
GACGAACGCUGGCGGCGUGCCUAAUACAUGCAAGUAGAACGCUGAAGAGAGGAGCUUACUCUUCUUGGAUGAGUUGCGAACGGGUGAGUAACGCGUAGGUAACCUGCCUUGUAGCGGGGGAUAACUAUUGGAAACGAUAGCUAAUACCGCAUAACAAUGGAUGACACAUGUCAUUUAUUUGAAAGGGGCAAUUGCUCCACUACAAGAUGGACCUGCGUUGUAUUAGCUAGUAGGUGAGGUAAUGGCUCACCUAGGCGACGAUACAUAGCCGACCUGAGAGGGUGCUCGGCCACACUGGGACUGAGACACGGCCCCGACUCCUACGGGAGGCAGCAGUAGGGAAUCUUCGGCAAUGGGGGCAACCCUGACCGAGCAACGCCGCGUGAGUGAAGAAGGGUUUCGGAUCGUAAAGCUCUGUUGUAAGUCAAGAACGGGUGUGAGAGUGGAAAGUUCACACUGUGACGGUAGCUUACCAGAAAGGGACGGCUAACUACGUG